CCCGGCAUUUCCCUUCAGAGAGUUGCUGGGGAUGCACACCUGCUCUGGGACAGCCGGAGUGCGCAACCCGCACUUCUACACGCGCGCGCCGGGCAACAUAGCGCACCGCGGGUACACGCACGCCGACCGGACACACGCAGUCUCGUACACGCCCAACGAGCGCACACACCCGCACUCCAUGCACGCGCGAUGGGCGCACACACUCGCAUCCCUACACGUGCACACACCCGCGCUCCAAUUACCGCGCUAGCGCGCAAAAGAGCCGCAACUUCCGAGUGGGACUCGGCAUGCGGGGGCAGUGCCCGGUACUUCACCAUCAGUCACCUUCGCGUCCGCCUCCUCCCCUGCUGGUUGCACCUCCAGCCGCAGAGAUUUCCGGCUGGGGCACCAGAACUGUCCAGGCCGAAAGAGCUGCUCCUCCGUCACAAAGCGCAGUUGCACACUGUACUGCAGGCGCGCGGGGACCCGGGCCGGAGCCGGGGUCGCAGCCAUGGUCCAAGCGCCUCUGCUCCUGAGCCCUAGCAGUGCCUCCCCCGCGCUGCUCUGGGCACCGAGAAACUGCUGGGGCAAGGGGGAGGGAUUUGGAAGCGCGCACCACCUUCCCCAGCUCCCGUUGCAAGUUCAGUCUUCGACCUCCGAGACGCCCGGUGACUUCUGCUGGCACCUGCUGCCCUCGGCAUCACCUCCCUCAUCCCCCUGGAGGGCACGCUGGAAAGCUGCAACUCCCCACCCUCCGCACAGGAGCGCCCCGUAGACGCGCAGAUGGGCCCAGCCACCCAGCGGGGCGGCAGCCCUGAGCACACAAGUUUGGAGAGCGCGCGAGGCACCUGAAAGUGGUUGGGGUUUGGAAGCAAAAGGGUGACACCUGCUGUUCGCUGGGACCGCUCUGCGGGUGUGGGCGUCGGUUUGGAAACGUCCUUUGCCUGAGCUCUGCUUGGCUGUGUGCCCCAUUCUUAUUACUCUAUCUCAGUGGGUCUCAAUCCCGGCUACACAUUGGAAUCACUUGGAAAGCUUUAAAAAUAAAACCAAACCUGUGCUUGGGCUCCACCAUAGGUGUUCACCACAGCUGUCAGUAUAAAUCAAUGCAUCUUGGUUCCAUUCUUCAUCAUUUGCUGGUAGCUAAAUUAUGUUGUCCUGAACACCUGCGGAGGUAUUUUGUGCAGGAUGGUUUACCACAUUGGCCUUGGGAGUUGAGGAAGCACCAGCUUAGGUUCUGCCACGUGCUCUUUCCUGACAGCGAGUGCUGCUGGCUGCUGACGCCUAGAAUCUCAGCACGGGAGCUGCCUUUGUCACAGACCUUGGUUCCCCAUUCAAUCGAGCACCUGUGCAGUUGCCCUGUGGUCUAGCAUCCCAGGCUCAGCAGUGACAGCUCCUGAUGGGCUUUCACCUGACUUUCUAAAUCAGUGCUGUUCUAAAUCUGUGCUAAAUCUGGUGACCAGCCAGAGCCUGGUCACCCCUGCAUGGAGUAGGAGUGAAGCUUAUGAAAAGGUGAGGUGCCAAACACACAGAGGAGAACACGGAGGAGGCCAUAUUGUAAUAAAGAGAAAGCAAGCAGUCAGAAGUCACCCCAUAAAACACCUUCCACCCUCUGAGCAUGACCAGCAAAGCGGUUUCUUCUUGCGGACACUGCAUCAGCCCAGCUCAAAGUGCAUUCCAUUCUGAUGAACAUCCACAAACAGUUAUGAAGAAGACCCAAAUGUCAUGAUUUUGUUCCUCUCAGAUAAUAAAAAUAUCAUGAUUCUGAAGGAGUGUUGGUGGGUGUUCAAGUCAAUUCAGUUACAAGCAUACGCCUUACCCCAGUUCUCGUGGCUUCAUCCUGAAUUAGAGUUGUCCCCUGUCAUCUGGAAUAUAUUUCCCAUUGAGACACAUUACUCUCACUCCUUCUACAGCUGUCCCAGGGUCAGUGCUUGAUUUCUCAGAGAUUUUGUUAUGUGAAUCAGUCCAAAGUGUGUUACAGCAAGACUAAGUCAUCAUGAGUCACAUGAUCCACACAUUUCCUAUUUGUAUCUUUGCUUGGUUGAGUGUGUUGUGGGGGGUUAGAAUAUAUUUUGGUCUGCUUUAACCUUUGUGUUCCAAUUCACUCUUAGGUUGAAAGAAAAAUAUAAACUCAAAUUUAAAGAAUAGCCUUCUUGUAAAAGACAAGCUUGGCUAUGACUAAGCAGUUGUUACUUGAUGAGCGAGAGAAGCCCCUUCUUGGGUAAUUGGGGCUGCAGGAAUGGAGUGACCGUUUCCCCAUCAGCAUCCCCUCUGGGUCCUUCAGGUCUGAGCUAGAAGAGCAAGGGCCAGCGUCCCCCAGCACAUAGUUGUCUUGAUGCCACAGACAAAAUAAUUUAAUUCAUGUAUGCGUCCUCAUAAAUCUGACAAAUGUUUAGAAAAUGGAAGCUUUG
RNAcentral lists this long non-coding RNA (2387 nucleotides) under Homo sapiens (human). Its description in RNAcentral is "HSALNT0146082". Lineage: Eukaryota; Metazoa; Chordata; Mammalia; Primates; Hominidae. The record is from RNAcentral.